GUGAGUAUAGUUUAACCAAAACGUCAGAUUGUGAUUCUGAAGAUAGGGGUUAAAACCCCCUUACCCACC
Molecule: transfer RNA, 69 nt
Filed under: Phenacobius mirabilis
Lineage: Eukaryota; Metazoa; Chordata; Actinopteri; Cypriniformes; Leuciscidae
Description: tRNA-His
Rfam family: tRNA
About the family: Transfer RNA (tRNA) molecules are approximately 80 nucleotides in length.
Source: RNAcentral